GAGAUAAUAAAGGAUAGUAUGGACAUAUUGGAGAAGCACUCAGAAGAGCUACUCAUGGAUUUGCAAUAUUCCAGCACAGAUUGCCAAUGUUGCAUUAAAAUAUUGCCACAGAAGCAUUUCCCUAGACCUAGUGCAGGAUAAACCAAUGAACAACCCCCUCCUCCCCUGUUCCACAUACCUCCUUCUGUGAUAUUUCCACCCAUUUCCUCUGUCUAUUGCCUGUGGCUUGAGCAAGGUUCAUUCAAAUGAAUUUAAAGCAGGGAUAAAUAUUGUCAAUUCAAAUCACGGCUUUUCAGUCUGUCCCCAGGGUUGUCCCCAGGGCAGGCAUCCCUUGCUGAAACAGGUCAUAUUCCCUCUCUAGAUGAGGCUGUUGAGUCACGAAGAAAAGGUGAGGGGUGGCAAGAGAAAGACAGGGAAGGGAAAAAACUAGCAAGCGAACAAACAAUUUGCAGAGCAAGGAGGACAUUUGAGCUCUUGUGUUUCUUUUCUCAUUGUAGUUUAUUCCAAAUCCUGCCACAGCCUUCCUGGAGGAGGGGGAAGGGCAUCGGCUGAUUUGCAUCUUAUGUUACUGCUGACAGUAGGAGGUCUUAAUUGGGGCACCAAAGAGCAGAGAGGAAGCAGCACAAACUCUGCAUCUUGGGAGGAACCUGCAGAAAGGACUGCGAUCUCCGUCAGCCGGCUGAGUGUCCUGUGCAGAGAGAAGAAAAAAAGGAAAGAUCUCACAAAGAGUUUAUCUGAACUUUAUACAUUCUUGUAGUGCUGCUCUGGAACAAGUUCUGCUUUGGUUCACUCAGAGUUCAAUCUUUGGAGACUUAAAGUGCUCACUCAAAUGCACUGAACAAGAGGAAUGCUUCAGCUCCAAUCAGCUCCUGUCUUCUUUGGAAAUGCUGGCCCUGAGGUAUCUUUGAGUCUUUGAAAUCAAUCUUUUAUUCAGCAGGGAAUUUCUGAUGGCUUAGAGGUCUGGUCUGUUAAUUCUGCCUAAUGCCCUGUUUAAGUUUAGGGCAUUUCAACGAGCUGAUGUUUUUGCUUUUACUUUGCUAUGGAACUAAGUGCAUCCCUCUCC
RNAcentral lists this long non-coding RNA (1063 nucleotides) under Numida meleagris (helmeted guineafowl). RNAcentral describes it as "lncRNA (ENSNMEG00000018030.1)". Lineage: Eukaryota; Metazoa; Chordata; Aves; Galliformes; Numididae. The record is from RNAcentral.